CCAACCACUAGAGGAGUGCUCUUCCCCUUCCCCUCAUCUGCUCUGAGCCUGGCAGAGAUGGAAGCUAGACUUGCAGAAGGACUUCCUGACAAGGUUUCAGACAGGAUUUCAUGCUCCCCAAACUGUCCUCAAACUUGAUAUAUAGCCAAGGAUGUCCUUGAAACACUCAUCUAUUUGACUCUGCCCAACUCAUGCUACCAUCGUGGGCGCGAGGAACACAUCAGGAUUCACCAUCAGCACCUUGGAAGAGCUCUGUCCAACAAGCCAGCAAAGAAAGCUGACCUUGGGCUGGUGUAGAUGAGUGGGUAGUGCACUUGCAUAAGGCUUUAGGGAUUGCAUCUGCAGUACCUUAAGAAAUAUUAUCGAGUCUUGGAGUAACCCAGUUGGUUGGCAUUUUGUUUGAGCUAUCUGUGCUGCGGUUCUGCAUUUGCAGUCUGAGGAUCUGCCAAGAUAGUACAGGCUGUGCCCAGUUCUCCCUCUAAGACUUUAUCCAUGUAUCUCUGCCUGGAAGUGGGCUGCCUUUCUCUCAUUCUACCCUGACCAGCCCAACAUGGGUGUGGGAGGGCAGCUUGUCAGACCUUCUCCAGGAAGCUCACUGCCCUCUGUUCCUUCCUUCUCUCUGGGCUACACUCUCAGAGAGUCACCUGGAACGUCUCACACAAGCCUGACACUCCGUGUCUAUGCCAACUUUGCUGACUUUGCUUUCUGUCCCAGCACCCAGAAGAAUUAGGAAGAUCAUGUACAAGUUCCAGAGCAGAAUGGGCUAUAGAGUAAGACACUGUCCUCAAGAUAAAUAAAUAAAUGUCCCUUUUUGGAGGGCCUUCUACAUCAGAGA
RNAcentral lists this long non-coding RNA (835 nucleotides) under Mus musculus (house mouse). RNAcentral describes it as "predicted gene, 50399". Lineage: Eukaryota; Metazoa; Chordata; Mammalia; Rodentia; Muridae. The record is from RNAcentral.